This 1356-nucleotide long non-coding RNA is filed under the name Homo sapiens (human). RNAcentral describes it as "HSALNT0351045". The record is from RNAcentral. Lineage: Eukaryota; Metazoa; Chordata; Mammalia; Primates; Hominidae.
GGUGCAGUCCAGCUCCACGGUCGCGCGUCCCACAGCUCCCUUCACGUCCGUUCCUCCGUUUCCCCACCUUGGGAGGGCCAGGACUUCCGAGGCUUUAGGGGGCAGGAAGCUGCGAGAAGGUGGCGCUUGCUUAGGUGAGGCGCGGAGGAUGGUAUUAGAGAGAGGAACGUGACUGGAAGCUCCCUGGCCAUGGACGAUCGCUGGGUUCUAGGCGCCUGCUCGCCCCAGCGGUUGACGGUCACGUGAUACCCCCCAGUGUACCUUUCCUGCAGCGUGUUACGUGGCGCACAGAGAACGUCGCUUCCAGAGGACCGUUUUUUCGUAACUGGCAGUAGUAAUCUGGCGGUUGACACUCUCGUUGCCUGUAUAGGCUGAUGGCCCACUCACCUUUUUAGCUGGGCUCCUGACCUGUCCGGCCAGAAAGUUGCCACUGGGAAACCUGGACCCCUACUGAAUGGAUCUGCUGGCACCUAGACCUCAGAGAAGGGGGAACUGAAGACUGAAAUGGCUGACAUGAUGGUCUGUGACCUGAAAGUUGUUGAAUAGUUGGAGUGUUCUGCAUUCAUGUGGAAGAGGCUAAAGGAUGUUUGAUGAAGCACUAUGGGCUGCCCUGGAAGAGGACUGAAGAAGCAGCUGCAGGAAAGAAACGUCCACUCUGCUCCAGUCAACCCCACUGCUGGUGUCCUCUGCACUGCCUUGCACUCCCUGAAGAGAGCCUGGGCAACAGAGCGAGACUCCAUCUCAAAAAAAAAAAAAAAAAAAAUUGGGGACUAUGUAUAUAGAUUUACUACACUGAAGCCCUCCAGCAGUCUAAGAACUGAUGCCUCUAACGAAGGAAAGGACUGCAUGUUUCUGAUGAAGCUACCAUGACCUACCAGAUUUCCAACGCCUGCCAAAAUUAAUCUAUUUGUCUGUGGUAGAAGAGGCCAUACCAUUGUGGCCCUUGAAACUUACUGUAUGAUGUUUUAUUUAGUGAACAGUUCACAUACCCAAAUGGUUGUAACUGAUACUGCUGAAUAUAUUGUAAGAACAGAAGUGUUAAGUAUGUAUAACACUUCUUUUGAUUGUAAGGAAUGUUCCCAGUGGGGAAAUGCCAUAAUUAAAACAGUGAUCGUGGGAUGAAUACAUGAUUAAGAGCUUACCUUCAUAAUAGUAAAACAGUACAGGAUGCCAGAAGGAAGGGAGGAGAGGGGAUAAUACUACUAUACUGAUGAAGUAGCUAGAAGAAAGAGGAGUGCUUAAGGAAACUAUCCAGCAGGCUAUUCAGACUGACCUCUCAUUUGGAACAGUUCUAAUGAGCCUUUUCAGCUACAAGUGAUGGUGACUGACAGUUACACUGAUUGGAGCCUGUGGCAA